RNAcentral lists this long non-coding RNA (560 nucleotides) under Manihot esculenta (cassava). Its description in RNAcentral is "long non-coding RNA (MESC_LNC000509)". Lineage: Eukaryota; Viridiplantae; Streptophyta; Magnoliopsida; Malpighiales; Euphorbiaceae. The record is from RNAcentral.
UCUGGCUUCAUUGGCUGGAGAUUCGUGGCUUAAGCUCACGAUCUCAACCUCAUGGCUGCAAGGACUCUUUGAUGGGUUCCAUGGGUUGCUCAUAAGCUGAAAAGGAAGGAAAACGAAAGAAAGUUCAGCAAAAAUACUAUCAAACUAAUAUUACUGUGAAACAUGUUUUAAUUGUCCUGCUUGAUUUUUGCUUCUCAGCAACUCAAUUUCUUUCAUUUUCUUCUGUCAUUAUAUUGCUCAAAACACAUAAAAGCAACACAAACGAAUGAACUUAGCUAGAUUAAAGAAAGAAAAGAAAGAAAGAAGAAAUAGUGAUAGAAGGCAGGGAGCUUGACCCUGUCCAUAUUGGAGUGUUGCGGGAGAGAGAACUCCAUUGUUGGUAUUUAGGUCCUUUUAUAAGUGUGCAUUGUGCAAGUGCCUAGAGAAAAUGGGACACAGCUUUGGAUGUCACGUCUCAAGUGAAUAGGAUAAAUUUUUUGGCUAGAAGUUUGUUAAGAUGUAUGUAAGUUGGGACAAAUAUUUCUUUGAUAUAUUCAACUCCAAUGAUCUUCGGUUGCAUC